AUGAACGCUAGCUACAGGCUUAACACAUGCAAGUCGAGGGGCAGCAUGGUCUUAGCUUGCUAAGGCCGAUGGCGACCGGCGCGCGGGUGAGUAACACGUAUCCAACCUGCCGUCUACUCUUGGACAGCCUUCUGAAAGGAAGAUUAAUACAAGAUGGCAUCAUGAGUCCGCAUGUUCACAUGAUUAAAGGUAUUCCGGUAGACGAUGGGGAUGCGUUCCAUUAGAUAGUAGGCGGGGUAACGGCCCACCUAGUCUUCGAUGGAUAGGGGUUCUGAGAGGAAGGUCCCCCACAUUGGAACUGAGACACGGUCCAAACUCCUACGGGAGGCAGCAGUGAGGAAUAUUGGUCAAUGGGCGAGAGCCUGAACCAGCCAAGUAGCGUGAAGGAUGACUGCCCUAUGGGUUGUAAACUUCUUUUAUAAAGGAAUAAAGUCGGGUAUGGAUACCCGUUUGCAUGUACUUUAUGAAUAAGGAUCGGCUAACUCCGUGCCAGCAGCCGCGGUAAUACGGAGGAUCCGAGCGUUAUCCGGAUUUAUUGGGUUUAAAGGGAGCGUAGAUGGAUGUUUAAGUCAGUUGUGAAAGUUUGCGACUCAACCGUAAAAUUGCAGUUGAUACUGGAUAUCUUGAGUGCAGUUGAGGCAGGCGGAAUUCGUGGUGUAGCGGUGAAAUGCUUAGAUAUCACGAAGAACUCCGAUUGCGAAGGCAGCCUGCUAAGCUGCAACUGACAUUGAGGCUCGAAAGUGUGGGUAUCAAACAGGAUUAGAUACCCUGGUAGUCCACACGGUAAACGAUGAAUACUCGCUGUUUGCGAUAUACUGCAAGCGGCCAAGCGAAAGCGUUAAGUAUUCCACCUGGGGAGUACGCCGGCAACGGUGAAACUCAAAGGAAUUGACGGGGGCCCGCACAAGCGGAGGAACAUGUGGUUUAAUUCGAUGAUACGCGAGGAACCUUACCCGGGCUUAAAUUGCAGAUGAAUUACGGUGAAAGCCGUAAGCCGCAAGGCAUCUGUGAAGGUGCUGCAUGGUUGUCGUCAGCUCGUGCCGUGAGGUGUCGGCUUAAGUGCCAUAACGAGCGCAACCCUUGUUGUCAGUUACUAACAGGUUCCGCUGAGGACUCUGACAAGACUGCCAUCGUAAGAUGUGAGGAAGGUGGGGAUGACGUCAAAUCAGCACGGCCCUUACGUCCGGGGCUACACACGUGUUACAAUGGGGGGUACAGAGGGCCGCUACCACGCGAGUGGAUGCCAAUCCCCAAAACCUCUCUCAGUUCGGACUGGAGUCUGCAACCCGACUCCACGAAGCUGGAUUCGCUAGUAAUCGCGCAUCAGCCACGGCGCGGUGAAUACGUUCCCGGGCCUUGUACACACCGCCCGUCAAGCCAUGGGAGCCGGGGGUACCUGAAGUGCGUAACCGCGAGGAGCGCCCUAGGGUAAAACUGGUGACUGGGGCUAAGUC
Molecule: ribosomal RNA, 1454 nt
Filed under: uncultured organism
Description: SSU rRNA
Rfam family: Bacterial small subunit ribosomal RNA
Source: RNAcentral